This 430-nucleotide ribosomal RNA is filed under the name uncultured bacterium. RNAcentral's name for it is "bacterial SSU rRNA". It matches the Rfam family "Bacterial small subunit ribosomal RNA", at positions 354 to 796 of the family's 1533-position model. The record is from RNAcentral.
GUGGGGAAUAUUGCACAAUGGGCGCAAGCCUGAUGCAGCGACGCCGCGUGGGGGAUGACGGCCUUCGGGUUGUAAACCCCUUUCAGCACAGACGAAGCGCGAGUGACGGUAUGUGCAGAAGAAGCACCGGCCAACUACGUGCCAGCAGCCGCGGUAAUACGUAGGGUGCGAGCGUUGUCCGGAAUUACUGGGCGUAAAGAGCUUGUAGGUGGUUUGUCGCGUUGUUCGUGAAAACUCACAACUCAAUUGUGGGCGUGCGGGCGAUACGGGCAGACUAGAGUACUGCAGGGGAGACUGGAAUUCCUGGUGUAGCGGUGGAAUGCGCAGAUAUCAGGAGGAACACCGGUGGCGAAGGCGGGUCUCUGGGCAGUAACUGACGCUGAGAAGCGAAAGCGUGGGGAGCGAACAGGAUUAGAAACCCCGGUAGUCC